UGGGGAAUAUUGCACAAUGGGCGCAAGCCUGAUGCAGCGACGCCGCGUGAGGGAUGGAGGCCUUCGGGUUGUAAACCUCUUUUGUUUGGGAGCAAGCCUUCGGGUGAGUGUACCUUUCGAAUAAGCGCCGGCUAACUACGUGCCAGCAGCCGCGGUAAUACGUAGGGCGCAAGCGUUAUCCGGAUUUAUUGGGCGUAAAGGGCUCGUAGGCGGCUCGUCGCGUCCGGUGUGAAAGUCCAUCGCUUAACGGUGGAUCUGCGCCGGGUACGGGCGGGCUGGAGUGCGGUAGGGGAGACUGGAAUUCCCGGUGUAACGGUGGAAUGUGUAGAUAUCGGGAAGAACACCGAUGGCGAAGGCAGGUCUCUGGGCCGUCACUGACGCUGAGGAGCGAAAGCGUGGGGAGCGAACA
RNAcentral lists this ribosomal RNA (409 nucleotides) under uncultured bacterium. RNAcentral describes it as "bacterial SSU rRNA". It matches the Rfam family "Bacterial small subunit ribosomal RNA", at positions 355 to 774 of the family's 1533-position model. The record is from RNAcentral.